This 253-nucleotide ribosomal RNA is filed under the name uncultured Acidobacteriota bacterium. Its description in RNAcentral is "uncultured Acidobacteria bacterium partial 16S ribosomal RNA". It matches the Rfam family "Bacterial small subunit ribosomal RNA", at positions 524 to 776 of the family's 1533-position model. Lineage: Bacteria; Pseudomonadati; Acidobacteriota. The record is from RNAcentral.
UGCGAGGGGGGCGAGCGUUGUUCGGAAUUAUUGGGCGUAAAGGGUGCGUAGGCGGUUUGGUAAGUCUUAUGUGAAAUCUACAGGCUCAACUUGUAGUCUGCAUGAGAAACUGCCGGGCUUGAGUAUGGGAGAGGUGAGUGGAAUUCCUGGUGUAGCGGUGAAAUGCGUAGAUAUCAGGAGGAACACCUGUGGCGAAAGCGGCUCACUGGACCAUAACUGACGCUGAUGCACGAAAGCUAGGGGAGCAAACGGG